RNAcentral lists this ribosomal RNA (318 nucleotides) under uncultured Chloroflexota bacterium. RNAcentral describes it as "bacterial SSU rRNA". It matches the Rfam family "Bacterial small subunit ribosomal RNA", at positions 28 to 351 of the family's 1533-position model. Lineage: Bacteria; Bacillati; Chloroflexota. The record is from RNAcentral.
GAUGAACGCUGGCGGCGUGCCUAACCCAUGUAAGUCGAACGAACCAAUUAGCAAUAGUUGGUGAGUGGCGGAAGGGUGAGUAACACGUAGGAGACUUGCCUCAUCGCAGGGAACAACAGUCCGAAAGGAUUGCUAAUACCCAAAAGGGUCGAUAAUUCAUUUUGUCGACCAGAGUCGAAAGGCGUGAUGAGAGAGUCCUGCGGCCCAUCAGCUAGUUGGUAGGGUAGUGGCCUACCAAGGCAACGACGGGUAGGGGGUCUGAGAGGAUGGUCCCCCACACUGGAACUGAAACACGGUCCAGACGCCUACGGGUGGCUG